AUGCAUAUCCGUUUUCCUACCCUAAACAGACAGAAUCGGGAUAAGAGGGAUGUUCGUUUGGGAUUGUGUGGUGGAAUUGACUCUAUCGCCGGCCGUUGGCCGCGCCUGAGGACGCGUCCCCGGGCUGGAAGGGAAGGAGCCGCCGAGCGCGACGCCGGUCAUGAUGGCCUGUGCGCCGUUUCUGUCGCGCUGUUUGGACUGCUGCGCCGUGCGCUGGUCUUGGGCCACCGUCGCCGCGGUCUCAAGCGGCCGUGGCGAGGCAGAGCACGUUGUACGCUCUGGGCCGGGCGCUGCCUCUGCCAGUUCGCCGGAGAAAGGGGAUCCUCGUUCUGGUGGAUCGCCGUGGAGGCGAGCCGACGGCGGCGAUUCCUGAUAGUCAAGAACAAAAAAUAG
RNAcentral lists this ribosomal RNA (393 nucleotides) under Triticum aestivum (bread wheat). Its description in RNAcentral is "partial small subunit ribosomal RNA". Lineage: Eukaryota; Viridiplantae; Streptophyta; Magnoliopsida; Poales; Poaceae. The record is from RNAcentral.